AUUCUGGGUUCUAGAAUUUUAGAGACAUCCAGCUGAAGGGUAUUUCUUCCUCUUCUCUGCUUCCCCCGGAUACCACCAGCUCUAGCUCUGGAUACCUGCUUUUCAAGUUCUAAAUGAAGACUGUCAUCAAUAGUUUCAUUUGGCUGUUCGGCCCUUUUCUUCAAGACCAUUUUCUUCAGCAAAUCAGAAGGCUUCAUCUGCACAAGGUAUCGGUGCAGGACUGAGAUCUAGCAGGAGAAGAGAGGUUAGUCAAUUUUGAGCAGUGCAGUGCUCUUCCCUGAGCUAAUUCCAGUGUGCCCACCCUCAUGCCCAUUCCUCUUCCUGCCUUGACAGUUCUAUGCUACCCAUUUUUCUGUUUCCUUGAAAGUUCUCAAAUGUUUAAGAACCAACAAAAGGCAGCCCUAUAAGUGCUAUCACUGUUUACAAAGUCACCAGAACUCAGAGUGGUGCUCCUGUAUAUGCAUAUUCAUAUAUAUCUCUACUGUCAAGAAUUGGAGGCAAACCAUAUUAAGUUCUAUGAUCUAUAAAGACCGCUUGUAUUAAAACAGGUAUAAGAUGUGGUUAAUAGCUCUGAAACUUCUAAUCCUAUCAUCACACUGCUAGUCUUGGGAAACUGAAUAAAUUCUCAAUGUUGUAACU
Molecule: long non-coding RNA, 639 nt
Organism: Mus pahari (shrew mouse)
Lineage: Eukaryota; Metazoa; Chordata; Mammalia; Rodentia; Muridae
Exons: 3
Source: RefSeq, a predicted model, not a curated record